This 240-nucleotide unclassified non-coding RNA is filed under the name soil metagenome. Its description in RNAcentral is "partial contains 5.8S ribosomal RNA, internal transcribed spacer 2, and large subunit ribosomal RNA". The record is from RNAcentral.
AACCAUAGAAACCUGCGGAGUACCUGCGGAGGGAUCAUUAUAGUAUAUGGAAUCUCCAUUCUAUAAACCCACUCUGCGUAUCUUGUAACUGUUGCUUCCAUGGGACUUGGUUCCGCCGCACCGGCUUCACGGCUGGUGAGCGCCCAUGGAAGGAGAAACAAAACUCUUCUUUGAAAUGUAGUCAGUCUGAACAAGUUUUUAUAAACGUUAAAACUUUCAGCAAUGGAUCUCAGAUCGGAA